RNAcentral lists this unclassified non-coding RNA (885 nucleotides) under Bombus terrestris (buff-tailed bumblebee). Its description in RNAcentral is "misc RNA ENSBTSG00005020900.1". The record is from RNAcentral. Lineage: Eukaryota; Metazoa; Arthropoda; Insecta; Hymenoptera; Apidae.
UAUUGCAACAACUUGCUCUGUAUCUUUGUUAAAUACUGUGGCAUUUUUAUCAGCACCACCUGUUAAGAUUUUACUGGUAUCUGCACUGUGAAUGUCAAGUGCAAGUAUACCAGGAACACUGGCUGAAUGGAGACCCUUAAAAAUAAAUAAGUAACAAUAAUAACAACGUAUGAAAAAUUUCUUACAUAAAUGAAGGAACACAAUAUUACAGGAUGUGACGCAAGUGUUUGAAAUGCGCGAAUACUAUCUUGUGGAAGUAGAUCUUCAGGAACCGAACGUCCGCGACGUUUCCUUUCUUGAGUUGGGCAGCUGUACCUCCAGCUUCUACUGCAAGUGCCUGCAGGAUCAUGUAGUUUAUCAGCAAACAUUCUUGAUAUGAUGUAUAAAUAAAAUUAAUAUAAUUUUGUUCAUACAGGUUGUGGAAUAGUAGUAGCCUGAACAAUUCCAGCCUGAGGUUUCAACGUUGCUAAAGCUUCUCUGGCUGCAGUUACUUCUUUUGUUAAUCUAGCAAUUACACGGCAUGCUGCAUCAUGUUGAUAUAAAGAAUGAGAUAGCUCCUGUCUAGCUGUUUGAAGUUGUUGCCUAAGCGUAAAUGAAUGUAACAUAACAGCAUCCCACUCAUCUUGUAAAAUUUUCAAUAUAGCUGGAAUUGAUGUGGCACUUGGUGGUUUAGGUUUAACUAUUGCAGUUGCUGCAAAACAACAAGAAUAUUAUUGAUAACUGGAUGUUGUAUUCAAAGACAAAUAUAUACAGAAACAAGAAAUAUACUUUUGAUAUCAAUAAGUUGAUCUACAGUUAAUUCCUUUCCAGUUAUGGGAUCCACUCCAUUUUCAGCUAGAUAUUUUUCAAUUAAACGUUUCUCAAAUAUGGAACCAGAUACUGGAG